Long non-coding RNA from Schistocerca gregaria, 972 nucleotides. RefSeq lists it as uncharacterized. The transcript is spliced from 3 exons. The record is from RefSeq and is a predicted model, not a curated record. Lineage: Eukaryota; Metazoa; Arthropoda; Insecta; Orthoptera; Acrididae.
UUGCGCAGACCAAAAAAUCCCAACCUUUGUGAAUAGACUCCUUUCAUAUCGUAUUGUCAUUCUCCUGAUUUACUACCACCGUAUAGCCAUCAAGAACUCUGCAUUUUUGAGUAUAUGUUCUGAAUUGUGCGAAAAAUUCCUGAACUUCUUUCUGGAUUUGAUGCUGCCUAUUUUGAUAGGCCUUAAUCAGUACAUUUACUUAGAGCAAUAUGCAAAUGUGGCACUAGACAUUGCUGAAAAUGGCGCCUCUUCGAUCAAAUCUGGCGUUCAAUCCGUCAGCCAGAUUUUAGGGGUCUUGAAUUUCACCAAAAAACUCCAGCCCGCCAUAGAUUGCUGUCUCCUCUAUACUACUAAUAGCUCAGUUAGAUCUACGUCCAAUGCUGAUGCUAGGAAACAAAGCUUCUUUGCGGUCUGCUUGUCUUGUGUCUUUGAAAAUCUUUACAGGUUUUACGAGCUUUUUAUCAGUAUCCUUACGGUCAGACUGCACAAGCUUAGGCAGAAUUUAUUAUGUCUCAUCCAUGAAGCCAUCAAUGGCCUGAUCUACCUUUUCGCCUACCUGUCAAAUCUGUUCAAAUUUCUGCAAAGCGCGCGCAAAUUUACCUGUCAUUAUUCGUCGGCCGACAUGGUAAAAAUAUCAGUUCUCAUAGAUCACGCAUUUUCCAGAGUUGACCUUGGCUACAUUGAAAAACAUCUUGCUCUUGCUAUCGCCCUCAUCGGCAAUAAAAUUGACGAUAAAAUUGACGAAGUUGGUGGCUUUUUGGCCAAUAUCAAGUCAAAAACGGAAGGUGUGAUUUUAAUUUGUAUAAACAAGUAUCUCAGGGUCAUGAAUACUAUCUAUAUUAAAAAGAAUGAUUGAAAGAAGGACACUGCGGUUCUUUGUGUACUGCUGCCUUCCAUCUUGUCGCUUUUUUAACAUCAAAAACUCUCUGUGGAAUACCAACGCCCAGCAUAAGUGGAUAAGUUUACUCUAAU